Molecule: long non-coding RNA, 259 nt
Organism: Telopea speciosissima
Lineage: Eukaryota; Viridiplantae; Streptophyta; Magnoliopsida; Proteales; Proteaceae
Exons: 3
Source: RefSeq, a predicted model, not a curated record
AUCAGAAUGAUUUAAACGAAUUGCACUUACUGCCUUCUCCUCCAUCUCUUCCCAGUCUUCAUCACUCACUUUCUCCGAUUUCUUCGACUUCCCCAACAGGGUUUUCGCCAAACCCUGCUGUAUCAGAAGAUCCUUCAUCCUUUGUCGCCAGAGAGUGAAGUUGUUCUUAAUUUCCAUUGAACUUAUCGAUGUCGUACUUGACACUCAAUCCCUUCCCUGACAUCGUGAUAGUAAACCUCAGAAAAUAGAAAACUUGAAA